RNAcentral lists this ribosomal RNA (634 nucleotides) under uncultured bacterium. Its description in RNAcentral is "bacterial SSU rRNA". It matches the Rfam family "Bacterial small subunit ribosomal RNA", at positions 9 to 655 of the family's 1533-position model. The record is from RNAcentral.
GAGUUUGAACCUGGCUCAGGAUGGACGCUGGCGGCGUGCCUAAUACAUGCAAGUCGAGCGAACCACUUUGGUGGUGAGCGGCGAACGGGUGAGUAACACGUAGGUGAUCUGCCCAUCAGACGGGGACAACGAUUGGAAACGAUCGCUAAUACCGGAUAGGACGAAAGUUUAAAGGUGCUUCUGGCACCGCUGAUGGAUGAGCCUGCGGCGCAUUAGCUAGUUGGUAGGGUAAAGGCCUACCAAGGCGACGAUGCGUAGCCGACCUGAGAGGGUGAACGGCCACACUGGGACUGAGACACGGCCCAGACUCCUACGGGAGGCAGCAGUAGGGAAUCUUCGGCAAUGGGCGAAAGCCUGACCGAGCAACGCCGCGUGAAUGAUGAAGGCCUUCGGGUUGUAAAAUUCUGUUAUAAGGGAAGAACGACUUUAGUAGGAAAUGGCUAGAGUGUGACGGUACCUUAUGAGAAAGCCACGGCUAACUACGUGCCAGCAGCCGCGGUAAUACGUAGGUGGCGAGCGUUAUCCGGAAUUAUUGGGCGUAAAGAGCGCGCAGGUGGUUGAUUAAGUCUGAUGUGAAAGCCCACGGCUUAACCGUGGAGGGUCAUUGGAAACUGGUCGACUUGAGUGCAGAAGA